GGCGAUGUAGCUCAGUGGUAGAGUGUUUGCCUAACAUGUGAAGCUCUGGGUUCAAGCCCCAGUACCACAA
RNAcentral lists this transfer RNA (70 nucleotides) under Heterocephalus glaber (naked mole-rat). It matches the Rfam family "tRNA". Rfam says of the family: Transfer RNA (tRNA) molecules are approximately 80 nucleotides in length. Their secondary structure includes four short double-helical elements and three loops (D, anti-codon, and T loops). Lineage: Eukaryota; Metazoa; Chordata; Mammalia; Rodentia; Bathyergidae. The record is from Rfam by way of RNAcentral.